UAACUGUAAUUUUGCUACUGUUAUGAACUGUAGUGUAAAUAUCUGAUAGGCAGGACAUCUGAUAUGUGUCCACAGUGAGAGAGUCAUUCAACUCCCACUGGGGUUGAAAACUGCUGGUUUAGAUCUCAAGCGUUUACCAGUGGCCCGUGUGUCAGAAGCUUGGUCCCUAGCAGGCUGCUAAUAGAGGGUAACGGGACCUGAAGGGUAGGGCAUAGUAAGAGUUUCUUAGUGUCAAGAGUGGGAAGGAUUAUGAAAUCAUGACCCCUUCUUUCCCUUCUAGAUAUCGAGAGCUUUUAUUUGAAGUCAACACUGCAGUGUACUGCCUUGCUGCGUGUCCCACAACAACUGCAGACUGAAACUGUGAGCCCGAAUAAGCUGUUCUCCUUUGUAAACUGAUUAAUCUUAGGUGUCUGUCUGACACACCAGAUGAAAACAUUCUGAAUUCCAUUUUCACUUGGAGUCUAUGGCAGGAUUCCGAAAUUGCCAUAGCCAUGCCUAAAAUUCAGGAAAGAGACAGGAAAUGGGAGAGAAGAAAAUGUAAAAAGGCUGGCGCCUUCCGGAGGGAGAAAGAUCAUCAGAAUUCUGCUUACGAAUUUACCAAACACCUACAGUCCCUCCUCAGGAGGUGGCAGGUCUGCACACUAUGCAGACAGCAGGUUCUCAAGGGAAGUCCCCAUUUUAGAAGGUUGUAGAUGAAUGAAUGACACUCUAACAAUCCCUGCUUCAAUGUGAAGUAUGUGAGCUUUAAAACCCUUUGGAGUUUUGUCCAAAUCCCUUCUGGAUCGUCACUGAGCCACAUACCUCUCCUGAGUCUCAUUUCCAUGUGUAAAUACACCGAUAAUACCUAUUACAUAAGGCUUCUUUGAUGCCUAAAAAAAUAGGUAUUUUAAACACAGCAAAAUACUUGGAUUGGAAACUAUUAUAUUGUCAUUAACUCUAAUGUCUUUAUGCUACCCAUUUAUACAAAUUAGUACUUUCAGAUCCAGAGUUGAAGUUCUCUAUUACUCAACUUGGGAGAUGCACACAGGUUGGGGGAGAAACUUACUUCAAUCUAUGUUGCUGGAGUCCUGUUCUUUCUAAAUGCCUUAUGUACCCCAAACAGAGCAUACAUAUGGCAAAGGAAAGACUCACAAAUAA
Long non-coding RNA from Mus musculus (house mouse), 1137 nucleotides. RefSeq annotates it as predicted gene, 53489. The transcript is spliced from 2 exons. The record is from RefSeq and is a predicted model, not a curated record. NCBI's taxonomy places the organism in Eukaryota, Metazoa, Chordata, Mammalia, Rodentia, Muridae.